CUAUUUGAAAGGGUUAACGGAUGUUGAUCGGAACGAAACUCGCUGGGUACGUUCGACUCAUGAACCUUAAGGUCUGUAAGAAUUUUGAAAGAAAUCGGCCACUAGUUGGCGCUAACGAGUUUUAUGGCUCUGUAAUCACGUGGUGUUUCACAUAUCAACACAAUAUGCAUAUCAUUUGAUAGAUCUCCUCAUAAUGCACAACUUUGCCUCAAGAACCAUUGCUGUCAAUCAAAUCGUUCAAUUGUUAUUCACAAAUAUGUUAAAAACCUACUUUUGCGAACUAGUCCUAGAUUUUUUGCCCGAUCAGAACCAAACCACUGCAGUAAUAUUCUGUGGACUCUCUAGAUCAAUAAUUAUCAAAAAAAUGUUGAAUUUUGUCCUUUGGUUAGCUGUAAAGGGGUAAUUUAGAAAAAGGGGUGUGGCCAAACAUACCCCAAAGCCUAUAAAACCUAAACGAAAACUCAAAACUUUAUGAAACUAGGUGAAAUCAUGUAACAGGUGACUCUCAACAAGGCUGCAAAGUUUCAUGGAGAUUGAUCCAUAGGUGGCGCUAUAACAGUAGAAAAGGUCUCAUAACACAAGAUUUAGAUGGUAAAUGGCCUCAAACUGUUUGAAAAUGCACAUAUAUUCACUCAAAAACACCAAAUCUUCAUAUCAUAUGAUAGAUCUCCUCAUUCUGAAAAACUUUGCCUCUGGGACCAAUUUUGUCAAUAAAUCUGUUAAUUAAAUAUUCAAGAUUAUUUGAAAAAGUUACUUUGGCAAAGUAUUCCAAGGCUUUAAGCUGAAAAUCAAUAAAACCACUGAAGUACAAUUCUCUAGACUCAGAAGGUCAAUAAUUAUCAAAAACAUGUUGAACAAUUGCAUUUGGACAACUAUAAACCAGUAAUUUUAUAAUACGUUCUUUUCAUAGUGUACACAAAGGCCUAUUAAUACAAACAGAAAGCCCACACAUUAUCAAAACUGUGUAAAACAAUGCAUAAUUUCAUUCUAAACAAGCAUGCAAAA
Carassius gibelio (silver crucian carp) is the source of this 1005-nucleotide long non-coding RNA. RefSeq lists it as uncharacterized. Lineage: Eukaryota; Metazoa; Chordata; Actinopteri; Cypriniformes; Cyprinidae. The transcript has 3 exons. The record is from RefSeq and is a predicted model, not a curated record.